RNAcentral lists this long non-coding RNA (259 nucleotides) under Vigna radiata. RNAcentral describes it as "long non-coding RNA (VRAD_LNC006096)". The record is from RNAcentral. Lineage: Eukaryota; Viridiplantae; Streptophyta; Magnoliopsida; Fabales; Fabaceae.
CAUUGGGCUUCUACAAAAUUUGCCACAAAAGGGCCCAAAUGCACUUAAUCUAAUUAAGGUUUCUAAAAAAACGAAAAUACAACUUUAUAAAAAUGAAAAUGGCUAAAUGUUGAGUCUUGAAUAAUUAUGCCACCAUCCCUAAUGCUCCAAUUGAUGUUUCCCAAAAUUUCCCUGCAACCAAAAUACACUUAAUCAGCUCAUAAAACCCAAAUUAGCACAAUUACAAAUUUCUGACCAAAUUAAGCAGAAUUCGGAAAAC